GGCUUAACACAUGCAAGUCGAGGGCAGCGAGCGAGAUAGCAAUAUCUUGUGUCGGCGACCGGCGCACUGGUGAGUAACACGUAUGCAACCUGCCCUCUACAGGGGGAUAAUCCGGAGAAAUUCGGUCUAAUAUCCCAUAGUCCCUGAGUUUGCAUGAGCUUAGGGGGAAAGUUCCGGCGGUAGAGGAUGGGCAUGCGGCGCAUUAGCUGGUUGGCGGGGUAACGGCCCACCAAGGCGACGAUGCGUAGGGGUUCUGAGAGGAAGGUCCCCCACACUGGUACUGAGACACGGACCAGACUCCUACGGGAGGCAGCAGUGAGGAAUAUUGGUCAAUGGGCGCGAGCCUGAACCAGCCAAGUCGCGUGAGGGACGACGGUCCUACGGAUUGUAAACCUCUUUAGGCGGGGAGUAAUGUGCUCUACGAGUAGAGUAGUGAGAGUACCCGCAGAAUAAGCA
RNAcentral lists this ribosomal RNA (456 nucleotides) under uncultured bacterium. Its description in RNAcentral is "bacterial SSU rRNA". It matches the Rfam family "Bacterial small subunit ribosomal RNA", at positions 45 to 492 of the family's 1533-position model. The record is from RNAcentral.